Molecule: ribosomal RNA, 300 nt
Filed under: uncultured bacterium
Lineage: Bacteria
Description: bacterial SSU rRNA
Rfam family: Bacterial small subunit ribosomal RNA
Source: RNAcentral
GCGUGUGUGAAGAAGGCCUGCGGGUUGUAAAGCACUUUCAGUAGGGACGAAAAGCGGGGUGUUAAUACCGCCCUGUCUUGACUUAACCUAAAGAAGAAGCACCGGCUAACUCUGUGCCAGCAGCCGCGGUAAUACAGAGGGUGCAAGCGUUAAUCGGAAUUACUGGGCGUAAAGCGUGCGUAGGCGGCUAUUUAAGUCGGAUGUGAAAUCCCCGGGCUUAACCUGGGAAUUGCAUUCGAUACUGGAUAGCUAGAGUACAGUAGAGGACAGCGGAAUUCCAGGUGUAGCGGUGAAAUGCGU